GUGGGGAAUCUUAGACAAUGGGGGAAACCCUGAUCUAGCCAUGCCGCGUGAGCGAUGAAGGCCUUAGGGUUGUAAAGCUCUUUCAGCUGGGAAGAUAAUGACGGUACCAGCAGAAGAAGCCCCGGCUAACUCCGUGCCAGCAGCCGCGGUAAUACGGAGGGGGCUAGCGUUGUUCGGAAUUACUGGGCGUAAAGCGCGCGUAGGCGGACCAGAAAGUUGAAGGUGAAAUCCCAGGGCUCAACCUUGGAACUGCCUUCAAAACUCCUGGUCUGGAGUUCGAGAGAGGUGAGUGGAAUUCCGAGUGUAGAGGUGAAAUUCGUAGAUAUUCGGAGGAACACCAGUGGCGAAGGCGGCUCACUGGCUCGAUACUGACGCUGAGGUGCGAAAGCGUGGGGAGCAAACAGGAUUAGAUACCCCAGUAGUCC
Molecule: ribosomal RNA, 425 nt
Filed under: uncultured bacterium
Lineage: Bacteria
Description: partial 16S ribosomal RNA
Rfam family: Bacterial small subunit ribosomal RNA
Source: RNAcentral